UGUACGUACAAGCAGUGGGAGCACAGGUUUACCUGUGUGACUGCGUACCUUUUGUAUAAUGGGUCAGCGACUUAUAUUCUGUAGCAAGGUUAACCGUAUAGGGGAGCCGUAGGGAAACCGAGUCUUAACCGGGCGUUAAGUUGCAGGGUAUAGACCCGAAACCCGGUGAUCUAGCCAUGGGCAGGUUGAAGGUUGGGUAACACUAACUGGAGGACCGAACCGACUAAUGUUGAAAAAUUAGCGGAUGACCUGUGGCUGGGGGUGAAAGGCCAAUCAAACCGGGAGAUAGCUGGUUCUCCCCGAAAGCUAUUUAGGUAGCGCCUCGUGAAUUCAUCUCCGGGGGUAGAGCACUGUUUCGGCUAGGGGGCCAUCCCGGCUUACCAACCCGAUGCAAACUGCGAAUACCGGAGAAUGUUAUCACGGGAGACACACGGCGGGUGCUAACGUCCGUCGUGAAGAGGGAAACAACCCAGACCGCCAGCUAAGGUCCCAAAGUCAUGGUUAAGUGGGAAACGAUGUGGGAAGGCCCAGACAGCCAGGAUGUUGGCUUAGAAGCAGCCAUCAUUUAAAGAAAGCGUAAUAGCUCACUGGUCGAGUCGGCCUGCGCGGAAGAUGUAACGGGGCUAAACCAU
Molecule: ribosomal RNA, 632 nt
Filed under: Salmonella enterica subsp. enterica
Lineage: Bacteria; Pseudomonadati; Pseudomonadota; Gammaproteobacteria; Enterobacterales; Enterobacteriaceae
Description: partial 23S ribosomal RNA
Rfam family: Bacterial large subunit ribosomal RNA
Source: RNAcentral